This 1308-nucleotide long non-coding RNA is filed under the name Anas platyrhynchos platyrhynchos (common mallard). RNAcentral's name for it is "lncRNA (ENSAPLG00000017952.1)". The record is from RNAcentral. Lineage: Eukaryota; Metazoa; Chordata; Aves; Anseriformes; Anatidae.
GAACACCUUGCAAAGUAUGGUGUAUAUAAGCUUCUCCUGCAGCACAUCAUGUUAUUUGCUCUUCUUCUCUGGAUCUGUUUACAGAGAGCAGACUUUCUUUUAAUUGGCAAAGUGAUAAUGUGGUCUCUGUUGCUUAGAGCUGUUUGGCUGGUGAUAAAUAGAUGCUCAAAGUUCCCUUCAUUGUUGCAAUAUUUGAAGGCCCCUUCAAUCUCUGCUCUUCUUUCUGCCCUGAAACCUCCUGAGAACCUGCCUCUGCUUCCCGUUGCUUCCCUGCUUUGCACUGUGUCCUCUCUGCAGUGCUACUGCGUGGACCCAAGCCUUCCCCUGGCAGCUCCUUCCUGCAGUGCCAGUGGGCAUCUUAAAAACGCUGCAACUGCUUCUUCUGGAAGGAGAAUCAAUAUAUAUAUCAUGUAACCUGCUCAGGCCUGCGGCGAAGAUAGGCAUAGCCUGACAUAAAAGGAGAGAAACAUGAAAACAUGACAAUCUUGGAGAACAUUUAUGUUUUGGAUACGUAAUAGUCACAGUCUGAGGUGGUUUCCAUUCUGUGUUGUAAUGAAUAUGUAUAUGGUAACAAUACACUGGUUUUUGUUUCAAAAAAUUUAAUAUUUCAAUUACUACGAAAAAGCAAGGUCUGCCACCCGAUCCAUGGUAAAUGUUGUAGAACAUUUUUGUAUGGUUUCCUGGCUAAAGCAAAAGUCUAUUUUAAAGUUAUUAAAGUUCUAUAAUGAGCUACCUUUCCAAGCUCACCGAUAAAAGUAUAAUAUUCUGUGGCUCAAUGUAAUAAUUCAGUGAAAUUAACCAAGUAAGUGGUCAAUGAAGCAAAUGAUUAAAAAGAGGACUGAAAAAUGAAGAUUAGAAGGGAUAAAAUUGUAUUUGUUAUUACUGUGAAUUUUGUAGGUCAUAAUUAAAGCCCACUGCACAAAAAGGAAAAACACCCUUUUAAAAUGCAAAAAAAAAAAAAAAAGUAUGUAAGGGUGCUUACAUUUUUGGCCACGGUAUCAAUCUGUGUAGCGUUGCUGACUUAAUGCAGCAUUUGUACCAGGAAGCAACAGUCCUACACUCAUCUCUGCUUCCAUUGCUACAACAUAGAUGAUUGCCUAGGUUCACUGGUGACCUUAAUCUCUUAUAUUCCAGAUAAGCACUUCUAAGUAUACAAAUUGUCAAAACUGGAAGUGUUAGCUAGAACACCUGCUCACUUUACAUCUGUAUAUGCAAAGAGGAUUAUGAGGUUUAGAAAGUUUGCAGGAGAAUCUGGAAACCAGGGAAAAGGUGAAUAAAUUACUGAAAUGGUUUUAGGUGGCUAUUCUA